GAAUAUUGCGCAAUGGAGGAAACUCUGACGCAGCAACGCCGCGUGGGUGAUGAAGGUCUUCGGAUCGUAAAGCCCUGUUCGGAGGGAAGAAAUUUGACGGUACCUCCGAAGAAAGCCCCGGCUACCUCCGUUCCAGCAGCCGCGGUAAUACGGAGGGUGCAAACGUUGGUCGGAAUCAUUGGGCGUAAAGCGCGCGUAGGCGGCCGAGCAGGUCGGGUGUGAAAGCCCGGGGCUCAACCCCGGAAUUGCGCUCGAAACCGGUUGGCUCGAGUCCCGGAGGGAGAAGUGGAAUUCCAGGUGUAGGGGUGAAAUCCGUAGAUAUCUGGAGGAACACCAGUGGCGAAGGCGACUUCUUGGCCGAGGACUGACGCUGAGGUGCGAAAGCGUGGGGAGCAAACAGG
Molecule: ribosomal RNA, 401 nt
Filed under: uncultured bacterium
Lineage: Bacteria
Description: bacterial SSU rRNA
Rfam family: Bacterial small subunit ribosomal RNA
Source: RNAcentral